UACGUAGGGUGCAAGCGUUGUCCGGAAUUAUUGGGCGUAAAGAGCUCGUAGGCGGCUUGUCGCGUCGGCUGUGAAAACCUGGGGCUCAACCCCGGGCCUGCAGCCGAUACGGGCAAGCUAGAAUUCGGUAGGGGAGACUGGAAUUCCUGGUGUAGCGGUGAAAUGCGCAGAUAUCAGGAGGAACACCGGUGGCGAUGGCGGGUCUCUGGGCCGAUAUUGACGCUGAGGAGCGAAAGCGUGGGGAGCGAACAGG
Molecule: ribosomal RNA, 253 nt
Filed under: uncultured bacterium
Lineage: Bacteria
Description: partial 16S ribosomal RNA
Rfam family: Bacterial small subunit ribosomal RNA
Source: RNAcentral